UGACGGAAAGAUGGAGAAGCUGAAACUUGAACUUGAUCACUGUCUUGUGCUUUUUUGUCACUAAACACAUUUGGUUCAUUUUGCAUGGAAUGAGGAAUCCCUGUUUUGUUUUUGUUAUCAUCAUCCCCCCUUCUCUGACCAUCCUCAUGAUCUACAAGUAGCAGAUACUACUUAUCAUAUAGGCAAAGACACAUAUGACGAUCAACAAAUCAUAUGUGGGCAAAGAAUGACCCCAUACCAUAACUACGCCAGUCCUGGGAAAGAAUGGAAUCUUGUCCAGUAUCAAGACGACCAGAUGCUUCAGCAGCAGCAACAUGUGAAAGCUCUUCCUGCAGAGCGUGUGCAAUAACCGCAUCGCUCUCUAUAUUAUUGAUAUA
RNAcentral lists this long non-coding RNA (377 nucleotides) under Linum usitatissimum (flax). RNAcentral describes it as "long non-coding RNA (LUSI_LNC001342)". The record is from RNAcentral. Lineage: Eukaryota; Viridiplantae; Streptophyta; Magnoliopsida; Malpighiales; Linaceae.